RNAcentral lists this transfer RNA (64 nucleotides) under Plectus aquatilis. Its description in RNAcentral is "tRNA-Ile". Lineage: Eukaryota; Metazoa; Nematoda; Chromadorea; Plectida; Plectidae. The record is from RNAcentral.
CGUGGGGUAGUAAAAUUUUAUUAUGCCAUUUUGAUAGAGUGGAGUUGACGAAAAGUUCCUCGCA